Molecule: ribosomal RNA, 233 nt
Filed under: Curtobacterium sp. PhB191
Lineage: Bacteria; Bacillati; Actinomycetota; Actinomycetes; Micrococcales; Microbacteriaceae
Source: RNAcentral
GCGUCCACUUUGUGGUUCCCGACAGACGAUCGGGAAUCAAACUGAAUACACCGCUCUGCCCAUUCGUGGGCAGCAGCCGGAACAUGUUUGAGACCGUGAUUCAUGGUCGAAAGUGUUCCGGUGGUCAUAGCGAGAGGGAAACGCCCGGUCACAUUCCGAACCCGGAAGCUAAGCCUCUCAGCGCCGAUGGUACUGCAAGGGGGACCUUGUGGGAGAGUAGGACGCCGCCGGAC